This 587-nucleotide long non-coding RNA is filed under the name Podarcis lilfordi (Lilford's wall lizard). The record is from RNAcentral. Lineage: Eukaryota; Metazoa; Chordata; Lepidosauria; Squamata; Lacertidae.
CUGCCAUUCUUCCAGAGUGGGUAGAUCUUGUGUCUUCCAAUACUUUGCAGUGAGUAUUCUUGCUGCUGUUGUAGCAUACAUAAAAAAGUUCUGUCCUUCUUUGGCACCAAUUGGCCGACAAUGUCCAGAAGGAAGGCCUCUGGUUUCUUCAGAAAGGUAUAUUUAAAUACCUUUUUCAGUUCAUUAUAUAUCAUUUCCCAGAAAGCCUUAAUCCUUGGGCACGUCCACCAAAGGUGAAAGAAUGUACCUUCAGUUUCUUUACAUUUCCAACAUUUGUUAUCGGGCAAAUGAUAGAUUUUUGCAAGCUUGACUGGGGUCAUGUACCACCUGUAUAUCAUUUUCAUAAUAUUCUCUCUUAAGGCAUUACAUGCCGUAAACUUCAUACCUGUGGUCCAUAACUGUUCCCAGUCAGCAAACAUAAUAUUGUGUCCAACUUCUUGUGCCCAUUUAAUCAUAGCAGAUUUCACCGUUUCAUCCUGAGUAUUCCAUUUCAACAGCAAGUUAUACAUUCUUGACAAAUUUUUAGUUUUGGGUUCUAACAGUUCUGUUUCUAAUUUUGAUUUUUCCACCUGGAAGCCAAUUUUCUU